Molecule: long non-coding RNA, 839 nt
Organism: Notolabrus celidotus (New Zealand spotty)
Lineage: Eukaryota; Metazoa; Chordata; Actinopteri; Labriformes; Labridae
Exons: 4
Source: RefSeq, a predicted model, not a curated record
UAAAUAUUUAAAAAUGGCGGACAUUCUGUCGUCACGUGAAGGUGGCGUGGCUUGUACCGCAUUUGAAAUUAAGGGCUGCACCUGACACAUAAACAAACAUACCGAAAAACACAACUUCCGUUUAAGGUUUUACCCCAAACAACACUAAAACUAAGACAGAAAGUGAUUAAGUUUAAGAAGCACUGAUGUGAAAUGUAGUAGUCUUUUGUAGUGUCCUCAGAGGGUGAACGUAAGAGCCGAACAGGUGACAGAUCUACAAUACCGAUGCGACCACACGUCUGUGUCCAGUGCCUGGAAAUCUGCUGAGGGGAGCUUUCAUUCCCGUCGCUGGACCGUCAGAGGACAAUGCAGAGAUGAAGUGCAUCUGAGUGGAGGCAAAAGCAAGGGAAGGAGGAAGGUGGAGUCGUAUUGCUGCAGAUCCAUCCAAAAGUGCACAAUGACAUCGGCACCAACCAGCUGCAAAAAUCUAUCAAGCAAUGAAUUAUGAAGAAAGAAACACAAGUAUGGACAAUUUGAUGAUUUCUUAAAACUGGGUCACUGCUGGAGUCUCUGUGCAUUUUUGUCUGUCCCUGAACAAAGCUUUAGGGCGUUUUCACCUGGAUUUUUUUUUGCAUGUGUGUGAACUGAAUGUUUGUCAGAAGAGUUGCUCUGUGCAAUUUUCUCUGGUGUUGAAGUUUAAAACUAGAACAAAAAUGUUAUCCUUUGUGUAGUCAUUAUGGAGUCAACAGUUACAUCUCAUUCACUUAGAAAAAUCUGUUCUAUCCAUCCAAGAUCAGAAAAUUGUCACAUAUCUACCUCCAUAUCUCAAAUCAUUGAUUAGUUGUCCCUGACUGAAUUGA